RNAcentral lists this transfer RNA (83 nucleotides) under Candidatus Ichthyocystis hellenicum. Its description in RNAcentral is "bacterium 2013Arg42i tRNA". It matches the Rfam family "tRNA". Rfam says of the family: Transfer RNA (tRNA) molecules are approximately 80 nucleotides in length. Their secondary structure includes four short double-helical elements and three loops (D, anti-codon, and T loops). Lineage: Bacteria; Pseudomonadati; Pseudomonadota; Betaproteobacteria; Burkholderiales. The record is from Rfam by way of RNAcentral.
GCGAAGGUGGCGGAAUCGGUAGACGCACUGGAUUUAGGUUUCAGCGCCUUAACGGUGUGAGGGUUCGAGUCCCUCCCUUCGCA